UACGGGGGGAGCAAGCGUUGUUCGGAUUUACUGGGCGUAAAGGGCGCGUAGGCGGCGCAACAAGUCACUUGUGAAAUCUCCGGGCUUAACCCGGAGCGGCCAAGUGAUACUGUCGUGCUAGAGUGCGGAAGGGGCUACUGGAAUUCUCGGUGUAGCGGUGAAAUGCGUAGAGAUCGGGAAGAACAUCGGUGGCGAAAGCGCUCUACUGGACCGCAACUGACACUCAGGGACGAAAGCUAGGGGAGCGAAUGGG
This 253-nucleotide ribosomal RNA is filed under the name uncultured bacterium. RNAcentral's name for it is "partial 16S ribosomal RNA". It matches the Rfam family "Bacterial small subunit ribosomal RNA", at positions 524 to 776 of the family's 1533-position model. The record is from RNAcentral.